Molecule: ribosomal RNA, 740 nt
Filed under: Salmonella enterica subsp. enterica serovar Infantis
Lineage: Bacteria; Pseudomonadati; Pseudomonadota; Gammaproteobacteria; Enterobacterales; Enterobacteriaceae
Description: partial 23S ribosomal RNA
Rfam family: Bacterial large subunit ribosomal RNA
Source: RNAcentral
AGACCCGAAACCCGGUGAUCUAGCCAUGGGCAGGUUGAAGGUUGGGUAACACUAACUGGAGGACCGAACCGACUAAUGUUGAAAAAUUAGCGGAUGACCUGUGGCUGGGGGUGAAAGGCCAAUCAAACCGGGAGAUAGCUGGUUCUCCCCGAAAGCUAUUUAGGUAGCGCCUCGUGAAUUCAUCUCCGGGGGUAGAGCACUGUUUCGGCUAGGGGGCCAUCCCGGCUUACCAACCCGAUGCAAACUGCGAAUACCGGAGAAUGUUAUCACGGGAGACACACGGCGGGUGCUAACGUCCGUCGUGAAGAGGGAAACAACCCAGACCGCCAGCUAAGGUCCCAAAGUCAUGGUUAAGUGGGAAACGAUGUGGGAAGGCCCAGACAGCCAGGAUGUUGGCUUAGAAGCAGCCAUCAUUUAAAGAAAGCGUAAUAGCUCACUGGUCGAGUCGGCCUGCGCGGAAGAUGUAACGGGGCUAAACCAUGCACCGAAGCUGCGGCAGCGAACGUAUCACUUAAAGCGAUUCAGCGGGUUACGAUUGACGGAGCGAAGCGACGUCAAAGCGUAUACAAAGUCGAGUCGGUUUAAGGAUACGUUCGUUGGGUAGGGGAGCGUUCUGUAAGCCUGUGAAGGUGUGUCGUGAGGCAUGCUGGAGGUAUCAGAAGUGCGAAUGCUGACAUAAGUAACGAUAAAGCGGGUGAAAAGCCCGCUCGCCGGAAGACCAAGGGUUCCUGUCCAACGUU